UUUUAUAUUCUAUUCUAUUUUAUUCUAUUCAAUUUGUUUUUAGUUUAUUUUAUCCUAUUUUGUGAUGAAAUUUUAUGUUGUUGUGGAUUAAAAGAGUUUUAGACUCUUAACAUAGACUGGUUUUGUUUCAUUGGUAAUAGAGCGAAUAUUAGAUUGUUCUUUGGUAGUAUAUCAAUAGCCAUCAUCUAGUUUGAGGUCAAUUGUUAUGAUUACACUAGAUAUUGUAUUGAGGCUAUUAUGAGCUACUUUUCAAAAGUCAAUCAAAAGAUGAAAAUGUAUUAUAAUAGUAGAAUUAAACAAAGAAAUUACAAUAUGAGAGAUAUAAUAGAGCAAUUCCAAAUAGAAGCUCAAAUACAACAUCUCUUAGGCCAGACAACUACUUUGCAAGGGCAAAU
This 395-nucleotide long non-coding RNA is filed under the name Physcomitrium patens. RNAcentral describes it as "long non-coding RNA (PPAT_LNC009641)". The record is from RNAcentral. Lineage: Eukaryota; Viridiplantae; Streptophyta; Bryopsida; Funariales; Funariaceae.